UGGGGAAUUUUGGACAAUGGGCGAAAGCCUGAUCCAGCAAUGCCGCGUGUGUGAAGAAGGCCUUCGGGUUGUAAAGCACUUUUGUCCGGAAAGAAAUCCUUGGCUCUAAUACAGUCGGGGGAUGACGGUACCGGAAGAAUAAGCACCGGCUAACUACGUGCCAGCAGCCGCGGUAAUACGUAGGGUGCAAGCGUUAAUCGGAAUUACUGGGCGUAAAGCGUGCGCAGGCGGUUUGCUAAGACCGAUGUGAAAUCCCCGGGCUCAACCUGGGAACUGCAUUGGUGACUGGCAGGCUAGAGUAUGGCAGAGGGGGGUAGAAUUCCACGUGUAGCAGUGAAAUGCGUGGAGAUGUGGAGGAAUACCGAUGGCGAAGGCAGCCCCCGUGGGCCAAUACUGACGCUCAUGCACGAAAGCGUGGGGAGCAAACAGGAUUAGAUACCCUGGUAGUCCACGCCCUAAACGAUGUCAACUAGUUGUCGGGGAUUCAUUUUCCUUAGUAACGUAGCUAACGCGUGAAGUUGACCGCCUGGGGAGUACGGUCGCAAGAUUAAAACUCAAAUGAAUUGAC
RNAcentral lists this ribosomal RNA (568 nucleotides) under uncultured bacterium. Its description in RNAcentral is "partial 16S ribosomal RNA". It matches the Rfam family "Bacterial small subunit ribosomal RNA", at positions 355 to 914 of the family's 1533-position model. The record is from RNAcentral.